AAGGGUUGGAUAGUCCAUGUGUUCCCAUUGGCGUCAAUUCACUGGGGUUUUUCCCCGUUAGUGAGGUUCCGAUGCCUGAUGGGUCCAAUCUUUCUUAAAAACUUCGCAUGGUAGAUUGAUAUUAUUGGGAAGAUGUAUCUCCAGCUGUUGACUAGAGGGGGGAGCCUUUUUCUUCAACCUCGACUUAUCAAAAUCUGAUACAGUUGGUCAUAAUUCUUGCCACAAUU
RNAcentral lists this small nucleolar RNA (227 nucleotides) under Torulaspora delbrueckii CBS 1146. RNAcentral's name for it is "Small nucleolar RNA snR31". It matches the Rfam family "Small nucleolar RNA snR31". The record is from Rfam by way of RNAcentral. Lineage: Eukaryota; Fungi; Ascomycota; Saccharomycetes; Saccharomycetales; Saccharomycetaceae.